UACGGAGGGUGCAAGCGUUAUCCGGAUUUACUGGGUUUAAAGGGUGCGUCGGUGGAUUUGUAAGUCAGUGGUGAAAUCUCCGGGCUUAACCCGGAAACUGCCAUUGAUACUAUAAGUCUUGAAUUAUCUGGAGGUAAGCGGAAUAUGUCAUGUAGCGGUGAAAUGCUUAGAUAUGACAUAGAACACCAAUUGCGAAGGCAGCUUACUACGGAUAUAUUGACACUGAGGCACGAAAGCGUGGGGAUCAAACAGG
Molecule: ribosomal RNA, 253 nt
Filed under: uncultured bacterium
Lineage: Bacteria
Description: partial 16S ribosomal RNA
Rfam family: Bacterial small subunit ribosomal RNA
Source: RNAcentral